GUCUACAGCUGUACCACCCCGAAUGUGCCCAAUCUCAUCUGGUUUUGUAGCUAAGCAGGGUUGGGCCUGGUUAGGCCUUGGGUGGGAAAAAGAUCUUCAGAGGAGACUGCUCAAACAGUUUGGAGACA
This 128-nucleotide ribosomal RNA is filed under the name Castor canadensis (American beaver). Lineage: Eukaryota; Metazoa; Chordata; Mammalia; Rodentia; Castoridae. The record is from RNAcentral.